Long non-coding RNA from Lutra lutra (Eurasian river otter), 1583 nucleotides. RefSeq lists it as uncharacterized. Lineage: Eukaryota; Metazoa; Chordata; Mammalia; Carnivora; Mustelidae. The record is from RefSeq and is a predicted model, not a curated record. The transcript has 3 exons.
UGAAGGAUAUGCUUUGUAUCUCUUCUGUGCCGCCGUGAGCUCCAUCUAUUCAUAUCAGGCCCAUAGGAUUUUAAUCACUUUGGCUCCAGCAGGCUCGAUCCAGCUUUUACAGGACUUGUUUGCAUUACCUCAGGAUUCCCAGAAGUUAGAUUAUUUGGUCCGUCUCCCACAGAGGGCUUUGGAGGUCUGGAUAAGUAUUGUCCAUUGGCAGGCAAAGGGACUGUGUCUCCUUACGGUCUCUGGCAGUGAUGUGUAUUUAUAUAAGCUUGGUUAACCUGAUAGGUCAAACGGCUCCUGAGCUACGGAGGAGAGCUGGACCCCGGGGCCGAAGUCUCGGAAAGAAACGUCUAGUCUUCUGAUUAUAGUCUUGAACUUUAUCUCUUCUGUUGGGAACCUGAGAUGAAGUCAGAAGACAUAUUCUCUGCAAAAGGUCCAGGAAUUUCAGAGCUGAAGGUAGCCAGUCAAGCAUGCACAUUCUGAGGCUACUGGAGAACACAUGCCAGGACCCCUUACCCUGUGCGUGUGGGGCCUGCAAUUGCACUGAGACUUUCAUUCAUAAUUUUAUUGCCAUGAAUGGGCUGUGCAUCAGCAGGCAGUAGGCUCCCGGCUCUGGGCCAGAUGAUCAGCCUGAACCCUGCCAAACCCCAGCUGUUGCCAUAUAGACAGCAGGAACCUCUGGGAGGAAAACGCCUUCCCAUCACUCUCUCCAUUGGCCAGGGUAGUGGGUCCACAAGCCAGGGGCUUGGCACCUGUCCCCUCCUGCCCAGCACUUCCUGUGCAUCCCUCCAGACACGGAACCCCAGACCCCAGGGCCCUGUGCUUCUAGAGUGAGGCCCUGCAGCUUCUCCAGGCCCAGCACACCAAAAGGCCAGGCCUUUCCCCACCAACAUCAAGCUCAUGGUCAGAACCAAGCUUGAUGCCCCAUUCUCAUCUAAAAGGAAUUUGGCCAAGGACAGAGUGGUGUGAAUUAAGCUUCCCAUAGAGGUCCACGAGGUAAAAAGUUCAGAAAUUCAGCUGCAACGUACAUCCUGUUCAGCACUGUGGGGAAUCGCUGUGCUUUGGAAUGAGUUUCUAGCCCCUAAUCUCUUUCAGGAAAUUAUAUCGCCCUUUCUGAUCCUCUGGCUGUGAAGUGCUGUGGGGAUUCCAUUGCACAGAAAUCCCAUCGCCUUCUCAGAGCCGUACCUGAAGGGGAGAACACCAGCCCCGUCUAACUCAGAAGAGCACAUCUCUCCAUAGAAAGGCCCUGGAAACAAUUAAGAGAUUUCAGAACUCAGUAGAAUUCAAGCAUUAGGAGAUGCCAGGAUCUGGACCUCACUCUAUGCCACCAGAUUUCCUUUGGGGAGAAAGAAAGCUUGGCCCAGAGCAGGAGCUCCAAAGUGCCAUGAUGAUUAUUUUAAAAGUUAAGGCAGGCCAGAUGCUUCUUUAUUUUAUUUUAUUUUAUUUUAUUUUAUUUUAUUUUAUUUUAUUUUUUGUAAUUGUGAUUGCAGAGCAACUUUUCCUCUUAGGGCCAGCAGACCAGCAAUUCUGGCCAAACAUGAAAUCUCUGACUUUCACUGUGUGUGUAGGGAGCAACUAUACAACUG